GGUAUUGAAAUAAGAUUUUAAAUGAGUGCUAAGAGAAUGAUUAAACAAUUAAAAGCUUUCUUUAAUUGAAUAAUUGAAUUUAAUUUUUUAGUGCAAAAGCAAAAAUAAAAUUUAGGGACAAGAAGACCCUAUGAAUUUUUUAUUAAAUUUUAUAAAACUUUAUAUAAAGUUUAAUUUAAUUGGGGUGAUGGAAAAAGAAUAAAUAUCUUUUUUUUUAAAGAAAAUUGGUUCCGUUUUUAGCGAUUAAAUGAAAAAAAUACUCUAGGGAUAACAGCGUAAUAAUUUUGGAUAGUUCAUAUAGAUAAAAUAGUUUGCGACCUCGAUGUUGGAUUAGGAUUC
Molecule: ribosomal RNA, 339 nt
Filed under: Ixodes ricinus (castor bean tick)
Lineage: Eukaryota; Metazoa; Arthropoda; Arachnida; Ixodida; Ixodidae
Description: partial 16S ribosomal RNA
Source: RNAcentral